This 420-nucleotide ribosomal RNA is filed under the name uncultured Actinomycetes bacterium. Its description in RNAcentral is "bacterial SSU rRNA". It matches the Rfam family "Bacterial small subunit ribosomal RNA", at positions 1113 to 1532 of the family's 1533-position model. The record is from RNAcentral. Lineage: Bacteria; Bacillati; Actinomycetota; Actinomycetes.
AGUUGCCAGCGGGUAAUGCCGGGAACUCUAGAGGGACUGCCGGUGAUAAACCGGAGGAAGGUGGGGAUGACGUCAAGUCAUCAUGGCCUUUAUGUCCAGGGCUACACACGUGCUACAAUGGACGGUACAAAGGGCUGCGAGACCGCGAGGUGGAGCCAAUCCCAAAAAGCCGUCCUCAGUUCGGAUUGCAGUCUGCAACUCGACUGCAUGAAGGUGGAAUCGCUAGUAAUCGUGGAUCAGCAUGCCACGGUGAAUACGUUCCCGGGCCUUGUACACACCGCCCGUCACAUCACGAAAGUUAGUUGCUCUUGAAGUCGCUGAGUUAACCCUCGGGAGACAGGCGCCGACAGAGUGGCCGGCGAUUGGGGUGAAGUCGUAACAAGGUAGCUGUAGGAGAACCUGCGGCUGGAUCACCUCCUU